This 447-nucleotide ribosomal RNA is filed under the name uncultured bacterium. RNAcentral describes it as "bacterial SSU rRNA". It matches the Rfam family "Bacterial small subunit ribosomal RNA", at positions 329 to 792 of the family's 1533-position model. The record is from RNAcentral.
GUCCAGACUCCUACGGGAGGCAGCAGUGGGGAAUAUUGCACAAUGGGCGAAAGCCUGAUGCAGCGACGCCGCGUGAGUGAAGAAGUAUUUCGGUAUGUAAAGCUCUAUCAGCAGGGAAGAAGAAGGACGGUACCUGAGUAAGAAGCCCCGGCUAACUACGUGCCAGCAGCCGCGGUAAUACGUAGGGGGCAAGCGUUAUCCGGAUUUACUGGGUGUAAAGGGAGCGUAGACGGCGAAGAAAGUCUGAAGUGAAAGCACGCGGCUCAACCGCGGAAUGGCUUUGGAAACUUUUUUGCUGGAGUACCGGAGAGGUAAGCGGAAUUCCUAGUGUAGCGGUGAAAUGCGUAGAUAUUAGGAGGAACACCAGUGGCGAAGGCGGCUUACUGGACGGUAACUGACGUUGAGGCUCGAAAGCGUGGGGAGCAAACAGGAUUAGAUACCCCGGGC